Molecule: long non-coding RNA, 266 nt
Filed under: Homo sapiens (human)
Lineage: Eukaryota; Metazoa; Chordata; Mammalia; Primates; Hominidae
Description: non-protein coding lnc-AGK-1:1
Source: RNAcentral
UGCAGUGAGCUGAGAUCACGCCAUUGCAUUCAGGCCUGGGUGACAAGAGCGAAACUCUGUCUCAAAAAACAGACAAACAAAACCAAACAGAUUCUGAGCCAAGAGAAUGUUACCUCAGGAUUGGUUCUGGACUAAUGAGAAGCUACUGGGAUGGUCAGCCACCAUAUUUGGAAAAUGCUAGAGAUCUUGAGUUGUAAGACUCUUCCAUUCCUGGGAGCUACUAGAUGUCAGUCAGUACAUUCGUCCUCAAGGGAACAUAAAUUCAU